Triticum aestivum (bread wheat) is the source of this 1122-nucleotide long non-coding RNA. RefSeq lists it as uncharacterized. Lineage: Eukaryota; Viridiplantae; Streptophyta; Magnoliopsida; Poales; Poaceae. The record is from RefSeq and is a predicted model, not a curated record. The transcript is spliced from 4 exons.
CAGACAGACGACGGCCAACGCAUUCAUGGUGGAGGGAAAGAUUGGUGUUGAUCCUGUUUGUAUGCAAAUCCUUAGAUGGAUGAAAUUCCUUUGCAUCUAAGUAAGUGGUAUGAAAGGGACGCGGAGUUCGUGAACUCGAGCACACAGGAGCUCGAUAUCUGUCCCGUUCACUACUGCGUCGUGAUUCGCUGCAUUCAAUGCCCGGGACAGGCCUGUGGUCGACCAGGAAUUGGGAAAGUCAGAUAUACGUACAGGUGCAGACCUGAAAGGUGGGCCAUGGCUCUGACGGACGUUAGGACGCCGUCCACUGAUCGGCGGACAGCCGUGGCCCAGGACGUCGGCGCCGUCCGAGUCUGUGGUUCAGAACGGUCUCAGAUAUGUGCGGCGGAGUGUCUGCAUAGGCACACCAGGUGGAGAUCAACCACAAUCAUCUGAGCAACCCAUAGAGCAGUAGAUUGUCCCCCAGAGUACCGGGGUGGACGUUUAGGUCAGCUAUGCAUUUUUGUGUGGUUCAGAAUUAUAUGAUGACACGCAUAAGUCUGCGGUUACACUUUGGUACAAAUGCAGAGUCAGGAUUGGGGCUGAAGCAGGCAGAGCGCCAUGCCAAAAUAGGAUUUCAGCAAUGGAGAAAUCAAUCCGGGGGUUUGCCGAACAUCCUGGUGACAAUGUCAUUGUGCCAAAAUUAGGGACUAGCUUCCACACACUGGGUGAAGCUUACGAUUUUUACAAUCUGUAGUCAUGGGAGAAAGGUUUUGGCAUCUCAAAUUUCUUCCUUUGCAAACAGACGCUCGAUGCAAUAAGUGAGUCAUUGAUCGACCUCCCAAUGAUGGAAGUAGCACUGUGUUUGGUGAGAGGUGGGAUGAACUGUCUGGAAGAAAAUUAUGUUACCCUUACAAACUAUGGACAAGGGGUGUCAUCCGGUACCCUCUCAACCUUCAGUCUCUGAACUUAUAUUACAGUUUUUCACUUCGGCGUCCACACAAGAGCUAUCUAGGAACUUGUGCACGAGAAUCCUAUGUUUGUAAGGAUAACAGGGGUGGUGCUGAAGGAACAGCUUGGGGGUGACACGAUGAUUGACCAUGAGCUGAUGUCUGUCAUUAUCCAUAGGUGUUGCCAGGCUGA